CCCUACGGGACGCAGCAGUGAGGAAUAGGGGUCAAUGGGCGAGAGCCUGAACCAGCCAAGUCGCGUGAGGGAAGACGGUCCUAUGGAUUGUAAACCUCUUCUGCCUUGGAGCAACCAGCGGUACGUCUACCGCAUCCAGAGUCCCCGGACAAAAAGCAUCGGCUAACUCCGUGUCCUCACCCGCGGUAAUACGGAGGAUGCGAGCGUUAUCGUCUCCUAUUGGGUUUAAAGGGUGCGCAGGCGGCGAGUUAAGUCAGCGGUAAAAUUUCGGGGCUCAACCCCGACGAGCCGUUGACCAUGGCUUG
RNAcentral lists this ribosomal RNA (305 nucleotides) under uncultured bacterium. RNAcentral's name for it is "bacterial SSU rRNA". It matches the Rfam family "Bacterial small subunit ribosomal RNA", at positions 337 to 640 of the family's 1533-position model. The record is from RNAcentral.